This is an RNA transcript of Mus musculus (house mouse), 2721 nucleotides long. It is a transcript of the gene named mitochondrial ribosome associated GTPase 2, with no coding region annotated. The transcript is spliced from 7 exons. The record is from RefSeq and is marked validated. Lineage: Eukaryota; Metazoa; Chordata; Mammalia; Rodentia; Muridae.
GGUGGCAUGCCUGGAUUAUGUGAUUCCAGGGGUCAACCCCAGGGCUUUGUGCAUGCUAGGUCGGUAGGCAUUCUACCAACUGAGCUACACCCCUCUUCCACAGUGCUUUCUUCUUUCUCAUUGAAGACAUCUUGGCACAUGUCUCUAGUGCCAGCUACACAAUCAGAUCAAUCGGUUCACUGUGAAACUAGUGCGGAAGGUUCCUGGACACACCUCUUGUGGACAGUAGCCGGGAGCUUAGCAUCCUGUAUAGCAGCAGUGGCCCUCUCACACGGUAGCACCGUGGAAUUCCCCAUACAUGAAAGCCUUGCUGUACAGCCUUAAAGCAUCUUGGCUCUCAGGCUCCAGGCUCUGACUCUCUUCAUUGGCCCAGCAAAGGCACAGUUAGACAGAAAGUGAGGAUGCCCUCCUAGGCUCCCUCUACAGUGUGCUGUGGGUAGACCCUACCCACUAGGACUUUCUGUGAUGGCAGUAUCCUAGUCUGUAUUUCCUGGUUUAGCCCUGAGUGGCCUGUAGCACUGAAGAACUAGGUACUUGGGCUUUAUUUACUCUGGUGAGUGUGCAUGCCCAUGCAUGUGAGUGUGCAGAUGCACACACGUGCACAUGUACAGGUAAGAGGGCAUUAGGUGUCCUCUAGCACUCUUUCUCAUUCCCUUGAGGCCAGGUUUCUCCCUGAGUCUGGAUCUUGCCAUCUCAGCCUCCGUGUAGUGUGCACGGUUGCAGGUUACACCACAAGCAUUCUUGCCCACCGAGUCAUCUCCUCAGCUGGAUUUUAAUUCAUUUUAACUUUAUCAGUCCCGGGUGGCUGUAGACACUAGAUGGGACAGUGCAGAGAUUGCGUUAGGUAAGCAAUGAGAGAGAACAGCGACGACGGGAAAGAGGUUUCGUUUGCUCCCUGGCAGGGAGCCGCCCAUCUCAAAGAGCAGACACACAAACUGAAAGUGGGGUGAGGAGCAGACUGUGGCAGCGUACACCUUUGGUCUCCACACUUAGAGGUGGAAGCAAGCAGUUUUCCAUGACCUGCCAAGGCUAUAUGGUGAGACCUUGUUGUCCUCAAACCAACCCCCCCACCGCCACCAAAAGAAAAAAAAAAAAAAAAACCCACAGGAAACACAGAAAGAAGGAAAGGAGCCAAAGCAGACCCAAGUCUGUGUCAGGACGCCAGGUGGCUGUGCAGCUGUUCCUAACCUUUCCGUUUGGCUCCACCAGUGCCAAACCAGCUGACAGUGACAGCCUGUGCCUUACAGGUCUAGCCGCCGGUGUGCCAGCAGGUGCCCAGAGCAGAGCCACCCACCACGUUCCUACAACACUCUUUCCUCCAUGCAGCAGUUCAAGUCCUUGGACCAUGGUAUCUACCAGACUUGUCUUGGCAAGGACUUGCACUGUGUUUGAGGGUGUUUUGAAAUGGGCUCCAUCCACACGUGCUGUCCUCAGGCCUAGCCACCUUCUUCUACAAGCAUCAUGCAGAUUGCUCUCUGUGGGCAUCGUAGACCACGCUAAGCACCGGGAGCCUUCUGGGAAGAAGGUUCUGUCAGAGAAGAAACUGAAAAGGCAUUUCGUGGAUCACCGGAGAGUGCUGGUCCGUGGAGGAAGCGGGGGCUCUGGCAUGAGCUGCUUCCACAGUGAGCCCCGCAAGGAGUUUGGAGGCCCUGAUGGUGGAGAUGGAGGAAAUGGUGGACACAUCAUCCUGAGAGUUGACCAGCAAGUCAAGUCCUUGUCCUCAGUCUUAUCCCAGUAUCAGGGCUUCAGUGGAGAAGACGGUGGCAGUAAAAACUGCUCUGGACGAGGUGGUGCCACCCUCUACAUUCAGGUCCCUGUGGGUACCUUGGUGAAAGAAGGAGACAAGAUCGUGGCUGACCUCUCUAACCUGGGAGACGAGUACGUGGCUGCUCUCGGGGGUGCAGGAGGAAAAGGCAAUCGUUUCUUCCUGGCCAACGACAACCGUGCCCCUGUAACUUGCACCCCUGGACAACCGGGUCAGGAGCGGGUCCUCUACUUGGAACUCAAGACAAUGGCUCACGCUGGGAUGGUAUGCCCCUGACAGUGCCACACCCUGAGGGUUGGCUUCCCAAAUGCUGGGAAAUCCUCUCUCCUUCGAGCCAUUUCAAAUGCAAAACCUGCUGUAGCUUCCUACCCGUUCACCACCUUGAACCCUCACGUGGGGAUCGUUCACUAUGAAGGCCACCAACAGGUAGCAGUGGCAGACAUCCCAGGCAUCAUCCGAGGUGCACACCAGAACAAGGGCCUGGGCCUCAGCUUCCUCAGGCACAUCGAGCGUUGUCGCUUCUUCCUGUUUGUGGUAGAUCUUACCUUGCCUGAGCCGUGGACUCAGGUUGAUGAUUUAAAAUAUGAACUAGAGAAGUUUGAAGAAGGCCUGUCAGAGAGGUCCCACGUGAUCAUUGCAAAUAAGAUCGAUCUCCCGCAAGCCAGAGCCCGCCUGCCUCAGCUGCAGGCCCGCCUCGGACAGGAGGCCAUAGGCCUGUCGGCGCUGACUGGGGAGAACCUGGAGCAGCUGCUUCUGCACCUGAAGGAGCUGCAUGAUGCCCACAUAGAGGCCGAGCUGGAGCAGGGCCGCCAGCCUCUCAGGUGGUAGUGGGCACAGGGCCGUGUGCCCCAGGGCCAGCGUGGAACGGGGGUGGGCCAUCAAUCACAGGAAGCAAAAGCAACCUUUUGUAAACUGCGGGCCCUUUGAACUCCCGAGACUAAGUACUUGCAAAUAUA